GACGUAGGAGGCGAGCGUUAUCCGGAUUCACUGGGCGUAAAGCGCAUGUAGGCGGUUGGACAAGUCGUGUGUUAAAGCCCCUGGCUCAACUGGGGGAGGUCAUGCGAGACUGUGCGACUUGAGGGCAAGAGAGGCACGUGGAAUUCCCAGUGUAGUGGUGAAAUACGUAGAGAUUGGGAAGAACACCAGUGGCGAAGGCGGCUAUCUGGACGGUUUCUGACGCUAAGACGCGAAAGCGUGGGGAGCAAACAGG
RNAcentral lists this ribosomal RNA (253 nucleotides) under uncultured bacterium. Its description in RNAcentral is "partial 16S ribosomal RNA". It matches the Rfam family "Bacterial small subunit ribosomal RNA", at positions 524 to 776 of the family's 1533-position model. The record is from RNAcentral.